Molecule: ribosomal RNA, 117 nt
Filed under: Chloroflexota bacterium
Lineage: Bacteria; Bacillati; Chloroflexota
Source: RNAcentral
AUCCGUGGCAAGAGCGCAAUGGACCCACCCCGUCCCAUCCCGAACCGGGCAGUGAAACGUUGCAGCGCCGAGGGUACUGCCGCCUCAAGGCGGUGGGAGACUAGGCCGUCGCGGGUC